RNAcentral lists this ribosomal RNA (481 nucleotides) under uncultured bacterium. RNAcentral describes it as "partial 16S ribosomal RNA". It matches the Rfam family "Bacterial small subunit ribosomal RNA", at positions 28 to 523 of the family's 1533-position model. The record is from RNAcentral.
GACGAACGCUGGCGGCGUGCUUAACACAUGCAAGUCGAGCGGAAAGGCCACUUCGGUGGUACUCGAGCGGCGAACGGGUGAGUAACACGUGAGCAAUCUGCCCCUGGCUUUGGGAUAGCCACCGGAAACGGUGAUUAAUACCGGAUACGACCACUUCUCGCAUGGGAUGGUGGUGGAAAGUUUUUUCGGCCAGGGAUGUGCUCGCGGCCUAUCAGCUUGAUGGUGAGGUAAUGGCUCACCAUGGCUUCGACGGGUAGCCGGCCUGAGAGAGUGACCGGUCACACUGGGACUGAGACACGGCCCAGACUCCUACGGGAGGCAGCAGUGGGGAAUAUUGGACAAUGGGCGGAAGCCUGAUCCAGCAACGCCGCGUGAGGGAUGACGGCCUUCGGGUUGUAAACCUCUUUCAGCAGGGACGAAGCGCAAGUGACGGUACCUGCAGAAGAAGCACCGGCCAACUACGUGCCAGCAGCCGCGGUAA